AUUGAACGCUGGCGGCAUGCCUUACACAUGCAAGUCGAACGGCAGCAUGGAGGAGCUUGCUCCUCUGAUGGCGAGUGGCGAACGGGUGAGUAAAGCAUCGGAACGUACCGUGUAGUGGGGAUAACGUAGCGAAAGUUACGCUAAUACCGCAUACGCACUGAGGUGGAAAGCAGGGGAUCGCAAGACCUUGCGCUAUACGAGCGGCCGAUGUCAGAUUAGCUAGUUGGUAGGGUAAAGGCCUACCAAGGCGACGAUCUGUAGCGGGUCUGAGAGGAUGAUCCGCCACACUGGGACUGAGACACGGCCCAGACUCCUACGGGAGGCAGCAGUGGGGAAUUUUGGACAAUGGGGAAACCCUGAUCCAGCCAUGCCGCGUGAGUGAAGAAGGCCU
Molecule: ribosomal RNA, 391 nt
Filed under: uncultured bacterium
Lineage: Bacteria
Description: bacterial SSU rRNA
Rfam family: Bacterial small subunit ribosomal RNA
Source: RNAcentral